RNAcentral lists this ribosomal RNA (685 nucleotides) under uncultured cyanobacterium. RNAcentral's name for it is "bacterial SSU rRNA". It matches the Rfam family "Bacterial small subunit ribosomal RNA", at positions 60 to 786 of the family's 1533-position model. Lineage: Bacteria; Bacillati; Cyanobacteriota. The record is from RNAcentral.
AGUCGAACGAAGUUUUUCGGAACUUAGUGGCGGACGGGUGAGUAACGCGUGAGAAUCUGCCUUAAGGAUUGGGACAACAGUGGGAAACCGCUGCUAAUACCAAAUAUGCCUUUUAGUGAAACGGGUAAAACCGCCUUAAGAUGAGCUCGCGUCUGAUUAGCUAGUUGGUGUGGUAAGAGCGCACCAAGGCAACGAUCAGUAGCUGGUCUGAGAGGACGACCAGCCACACUGGGACUGAGACACGGCCCAGACUCCUACGGGAGGCAGCAGUGAGGAAUUUUCCGCAAUGGGCGAAAGCCUGACGGAGCAAUACCGCGUGGGGGAGGAAGGUUCUUGGAUUGUAAACCUCUUUUCUCAGAGAAGAAUAAUGACGGUAUCUGAGGAAUAAGCAUCGGCUAACUCCGUGCCAGCAGCCGCGGUAAUACGGAGGAUGCAAGCGUUAUCCGGAAUGAUUGGGCGUAAAGGGUCUGUAGGUGGUUGUUCAAGUCUGCUGUUAAAGCGUCUGGCUUAACCAGAUAAAGGCGGUGGAAACUGAACGACUAGAGUGCGGUAGGGGUAGAGGGAAUUCCCAGUGUAGCGGUGAAAUGCGUAGAUCUUGGGAAGAACACCUGUGGCGAAAGCGCUCUACUGGACCGCGACUGACACUCAUGGACGAAAGCUAGGGGAGCGAAUGGGAUUAGAUACC